Molecule: non-coding RNA, 1071 nt
Organism: Salvelinus sp. IW2-2015
Lineage: Eukaryota; Metazoa; Chordata; Actinopteri; Salmoniformes; Salmonidae
Source: RefSeq, a predicted model, not a curated record
GGAUGUGUCCGGCUCCAUGGCUCCCUGCCUGGGGGAGCUGAAGACCAAGCUGCGCCUCUCAUCUGGGAACAGCUGCAUCACAACACAGUCAGGUUCUCUCUGCUGGCGUUCUCUGAGGGAGUGAAGGUGUGGCGUCGGCACUGCAGGAGCCUACAGAGGAGGCAUGCCGCGACGCGGUGCAGUGGGCAUAUCAGCUCAACACCCAUGGGGGAACCAACACUCUGGAGGCCCUGCAGGUGACGGGUUUAACCUCACUAGGACUGGCUGUAGGUUUGGGGACAGUGUGGGCCUGUACCUGCUGAGUGAUGGGAAGCCAGAUUCCAGCUGCAGCCUGGUGCUGAAAGAGACGGAGAGACUGACCACAGGGAACCACAUUACUAUUCACACUGUCUCAUUCAACUGCACAGACAGCUCAGCCAAUGACUUUCUGAAGAAACUGGCCCACCAAACUGGGGGUCGGUACCACCGUUGUCAUGACAAUGUGGAUGCACUCAGUGGGCUGUUGGAAUCGGGCCUUAGGGAUGGAGAUGGGUACGAAGGAUGAGUACACAGUAGAGACAGAUAUUCAAGUUUGAGGGACCUAUUGUGAACUGAUUCCAACAGGAACCUACCCUGCCGGCCCUUGAGGGAGAUGAUUUGAGGAGACUGGCUCAGGAAAUUGACAAACUGAGACAUUUCCGGAAGCAGGCACAGGUCUUCAGGGAAAUCAUUUUGGAAAAGAAGAAUCCAGAGGAAACAACAAGAAUCAACCAAACAGACUAGAUUACUGUAAACCCAAGAAUUUGACUUCAAUGAUUUUAUAUACACAUUUGUAAUUCAGAUUUUCARUGACUAAAUAUAUGAAGAAAGUAGUUGUUAAGAGAUUAAAACUGGUGUGCAUGAAUUUUGUCGGAUUAACCAUAUACUGUACACAGUUCUAUUUGACCUAAUUUGGGUGUGCAGUAUGCUUUGUUCAGAUUGACAAACCUCUGCUUUUCUUAAUUUAAAACUAGAAUGCUUAGUUGCUACAUUUUUUUUUAUUAUAAAUUAUUUCUAUAUGUACCCAUUGAUUCUUGAAGAAUAUAAUUUAUA